AAAAUACCUAAGACAACGAUUCAUAGGUGUUUAAAAAAAAUGGGGAUGGUGUCAAAGUUGAACGUUUGGGUGCCCCAUGAACUUACGGAACGGAACCGUCUGGACCGAACGACAGCAUGCAAUGUCAUUACUUGCGCAUAAUAAACACGAGCCAUUCCUUAAACGCCUAGUAACUGGUGAUGAAAAAUGGAUACUUUACGAAAACCCUGAAUGGAAACGUAGCUGGUCCCAACGAAAUCAGCCAUCUCAACGCUGUGCAAAACCGGGGUUACAUCCACGUAAAGUUCUUUUGUGUGUAUGUUAGAAAAAUUAAGGGAAGCACUAGCUGAAAAACGACCAGGUUUAGUGAAUAGGAACAACGUUAUCUUCCAUCACGACAACGCUAGACCGCAUGUCGCGAAAAGCGUUACAAAAAAAUUGUCUGAAUUUAAUUGAGAAAUUUUACCACAUCCCCCAUAUUCCCCAGAAAUUUUCCCAUCUGAUUACCACCUGUUCAGAGCAUUACAACACUUUUUAGUAGGUAAAAAAUUCGAAAAUAUUGACAUUCUCAAAAAUAGCUUAGAAAAUUAUUUUAUAGAAAAACAAGAGAACUUUUAUCGAGACGGAAUAAUGGCCCUACCAGAAAAAUGGGAAGAAGUUGUACAACGAGAGGGGGAUUACAUUUUUUCAUGAAACUGAAAGGUAUGUAAACAAUCUUAACAUAUAUAACCGCUCGAAAAACGGCACGAACUUAUGGGAUGACCUAAUAUUUUCUUUCUUCCUUGAUGAUGACAUUAAACCAUUUUGAGUUUAAUAGCAAAACUGGCUUUAAUUUACUACAAAUUGAAUGCCGACAUGUGUAUAUGGUUUCACUGAAAUGUUGAUCUCAAGAAGAAAG
RNAcentral lists this unclassified non-coding RNA (877 nucleotides) under Bombus terrestris (buff-tailed bumblebee). RNAcentral describes it as "misc RNA ENSBTSG00005039230.1". The record is from RNAcentral. Lineage: Eukaryota; Metazoa; Arthropoda; Insecta; Hymenoptera; Apidae.